GCGGGUGUGGCGGAACUGGUAGACGCGCCGGAUUCAAAAUCCGGUGGUAGCAAUACCUUGUGAGUUCGAUUCUCACCACCCGCACCA
RNAcentral lists this transfer RNA (87 nucleotides) under Fidelibacterota bacterium. RNAcentral describes it as "tRNA-Leu". It matches the Rfam family "tRNA". From Rfam's summary of the family: Transfer RNA (tRNA) molecules are approximately 80 nucleotides in length. The record is from RNAcentral. Lineage: Bacteria; Pseudomonadati; Fidelibacterota.